Molecule: ribosomal RNA, 234 nt
Filed under: uncultured bacterium
Lineage: Bacteria
Description: partial 16S ribosomal RNA
Rfam family: Bacterial small subunit ribosomal RNA
Source: RNAcentral
CGGGGUAACGGCCCACCAAGGCAACGAUCAGUAGCCGGACUGAGAGGUUGAACGGCCACAUUGGGACUGAGACACGGCCCAGACUCCUACGGGAGGCAGCAGUGGGGAAUAUUGCACAAUGGGGGGAACCCUGAUGCAGCGACGCCGCGUGAGGGAAGAAGGUUUUCGGAUUGUAAACCUCUGUCUUGUGGGACGAUAAUGACGGUACCACAGGAGGAAGCCAUGGCUAACUAC